This is a non-coding RNA of Trichonephila inaurata madagascariensis, 72 nucleotides long. The record is from the annotation of a GenBank genome assembly. NCBI's taxonomy places the organism in Eukaryota, Metazoa, Arthropoda, Arachnida, Araneae, Nephilidae.
GUCGCCCAGCCAGUUGGCUAUGAUCCUCGGCUUGUAACCGAGUGGGUUCGGGUUCGAAUCCCGAGAAAGACA